UACAGAGGUCUCAAGCGUUGUCCGGAUUCAUUGGGCGUAAAGGGUGCGUAGGCGGCGCGGUAAGUCGGGUGUGAAAUUUCGGAGCUUAACUCCGAAACUGCAUUCGAUACUGCGGUGCUUGAGGACUGGAGAGGAGACUGGAAUUCAUGGUGUAGCAGUGAAAUGCGUAGAGAUCAUGAGGAAGACCAGUGGCGAAGGCGGGUCUCUGGACAGUUCCUGACACUGAGGCACGAAGGCCAGGGGAGCAAACGGG
RNAcentral lists this ribosomal RNA (253 nucleotides) under uncultured bacterium. RNAcentral describes it as "partial 16S ribosomal RNA". It matches the Rfam family "Bacterial small subunit ribosomal RNA", at positions 524 to 776 of the family's 1533-position model. The record is from RNAcentral.